UUGAAUCAAUUUCUUAUUACAAAAUAGAGUUUGUCACUUUACCUGUUUAUUGUAGGGGUCAAUUAAAGCUUAAGAUCAUUUUUAACAAAUAAAAAUACUGUUUAUGAAAAGAAGAUAAUUCAUAUACAGCUAGAAUCAUGGAGUACAAAAUGUAAUGUGUGGUUAAAAUAAACAUGUAAAGUGAAUUCACAUCUGCAGUAGAUGUAUGGUACUAGCCAUUUUAAAAGUUUGUUUGUAGUUAUUGAUGUUUUAGGGAUAAUACAAUUACUUGAAUUAUACAUUUUAUGCUGUAACACAUUUAUUGAUUGAUGUUGCUGUUUUUGUCCUUGAAAUAUUAACUUCUCCCAAUUCUAGCAGCUCUGUACAUAAGCAGUGAUCUACAUAAGCUGCAUGACUCUUCACCAAGCUUCUUGCCAGCAUCCUAAAAAUGUUGACUACCGUCUUGCUGGCAUGCAGUAAAGAGACAUGACGGUCCCUGAUGAAUCUGGGCUUCUUGAUCACCCAAGUACAAUCUACAUCCUAAUGCAGACAUACAUCACAAUUAUUUGGUUAAGAAGCAAGAACAUUAAAAACAUGACAGAGAAAGGGAUUAAAGUGGUGAGUUAAUCCUUCAAUAUUUAAAUUAUAUUUCUUGAUAUUGAUUUAGUAUUGUGAAAAAAGUUUCAAAUUGGUUUUAAAAUGCAUUAGUUUUUUGUUUAUCUAGUCUAUAGACAUUGUGAGGUAAAUACUGUCACUUAGCAAUGUGAAUUGUAAUCUUGAUCCAGCCGUAAACAUUGUUGGGAUGUUUGUGUAGAUCAAUAUAACUCUAAUAUAUAAAUCUAACCCUCAAAUACAUAAGAUAUACCGGUGAA
Strongylocentrotus purpuratus (purple sea urchin) is the source of this 851-nucleotide long non-coding RNA. RefSeq lists it as uncharacterized. Lineage: Eukaryota; Metazoa; Echinodermata; Echinoidea; Camarodonta; Strongylocentrotidae. The transcript is spliced from 3 exons. The record is from RefSeq and is a predicted model, not a curated record.